GCCAGGCAUGGUGGCACAUGCCUGUAGUCCCAGCUACUCGGGAGGCUGAGGCAGAAGAAUUGCUUGAACCCGGGAGGCAGAGGUUGCAGUGAGCCAAGAUUGUGCCACUGCACUCCAGCCUGGGUGACAAAGCAAGACUCUGUCUCAA
Pongo abelii (Sumatran orangutan) is the source of this 148-nucleotide unclassified non-coding RNA. It matches the Rfam family "Metazoan signal recognition particle RNA". Rfam says of the family: The signal recognition particle (SRP) is a universally conserved ribonucleoprotein. NCBI's taxonomy places the organism in Eukaryota, Metazoa, Chordata, Mammalia, Primates, Hominidae. The record is from Ensembl.